This 620-nucleotide long non-coding RNA is filed under the name Anas platyrhynchos platyrhynchos (common mallard). RNAcentral describes it as "lncRNA (ENSAPLG00000022235.1)". Lineage: Eukaryota; Metazoa; Chordata; Aves; Anseriformes; Anatidae. The record is from RNAcentral.
UCCUCCCAGUAAGACCUUCCCAGUUGGCUAGGUCCUUCCAGUUGGAUAGACCUUCCCAGUAGGCUAGGUUCUUCCAGUAAGACCCUUCCAGUUGGCUAGGUCCUUCCAGUUGGAUAGACCUUCCCAGUUGGCUAUGUCCUCCCAGUAGGACCCUUCCUGUUGGCUAGGUCGUCCCAGUAAGACCCUUCCAGUAGACCUCUACCAGUUGGCCAACCCAUUCCACUCAGCUCCUCCAGCCAACUGGUUCCACCUGGCCCCAAACUCCUCCACUCUUUCCCCAAAAACGCUUCCGCUCUUUCUUUCCCCAAAUUUUUUCCGCUUGUUCCCCAAAAACUUUUCUCCGCUCUUUCUUCCCCCAAAAACGCCUCUGCUCUUUUUUUCCCCAAACUUUUUUCUGCUCGUUCCCCAAAAUUCUCCGCUCCUUCCCCAAAAAGUCUCCACUCUUUCCUUCCCCAAAAACGCCUCCGCUCUUUCUUUCCCCCAAAUUUUCCGCUCGUCCCCCAAAAACGUCUCCGCUCUUUCUUUCCCCAAAUUUUUCUCCGCUCUUUCUUUCCCCCAAAUUUUCCGCUCGUCCCCCAAAAACGUCUCCGCUCGUCCCCCAAAAAUGUCUCCACUCUUUC